CCUACGGGAGGCAGCAGUGAGGAAUAUUGGUCAAUGGGCGCGAGCCUGAACCAGCCAAGUAGCGUGAAGGAUGACUGCCCUACGGGUUGUAAACUUCUUUUAUAAAGGAAUAAAGUGAGGCACGUGUGCCUUUUUGUAUGUCCUUUAUGAAUAAGGAUCGGCUAACUCCGUGCCAGCAGCCGCGGUAAUACGGAGGAUCCGAGCGUUAUCCGGAUUUAUUGGGUUUAAAGGGAGCGUAGAUGGGUUGUUAAGUCAGUUGUGAAAGUUUGCGGCUCAACCGUAAAAGUGCAAUUGAUACUGGCAGCCUUGAGUACAGGUGAAGUAGGCGGAAUUCGUGGUGUAGCGGUGAAAUGCUUAGAUAUCACGAAGAACUCCGAUUGCGAAGGCAGCUUACGAAACUGCCACUGACAUUGAUGCUCGAAAGUGUGGGUAUCAAACAGGAUUAGAUACCCUUGUAGUC
Molecule: ribosomal RNA, 460 nt
Filed under: uncultured bacterium
Lineage: Bacteria
Description: partial 16S ribosomal RNA
Rfam family: Bacterial small subunit ribosomal RNA
Source: RNAcentral